ACGGGGGGAGCAAGCGUUGUUCGGAUUUACUGGGCGUAAAGGGUGCGUAGGCGGUGGGGUAAGUUUGAGGUGAAAGCUCCGGGCUCAACCCGGAAAAUGCCUUGAAAACUAUCCGGCUAGAGGGUUGGAGGGGAGACUGGAAUUCUCGGUGUAGCAGUGAAAUGCGUAGAUUUCGAGAGGAACACCAGUGGCGAAGGCGGGUCUCUGGACAACACCUGACGCUGAGGCACGAAAGCCAGGGGAGCAAACGGGA
This 253-nucleotide ribosomal RNA is filed under the name uncultured prokaryote. RNAcentral describes it as "partial 16S ribosomal RNA". It matches the Rfam family "Bacterial small subunit ribosomal RNA", at positions 525 to 777 of the family's 1533-position model. The record is from RNAcentral.